Molecule: ribosomal RNA, 586 nt
Filed under: uncultured bacterium
Lineage: Bacteria
Description: partial 16S ribosomal RNA
Rfam family: Bacterial small subunit ribosomal RNA
Source: RNAcentral
UGGGGAAUUUUGGACAAUGGGCGAAAGCCUGAUCCAGCAAUGCCGCGUGUGUGAAGAAGGCCUUCGGGUUGUAAAGCACUUUUGUCCGGAAAGAAAUCCUUGGCUCUAAUACAGUCGGGGGAUGACGGUACCGGAAGAAUAAGCACCGGCUAACUACGUGCCAGCAGCCGCGGUAAUACGUAGGGUGCAAGCGUUAAUCGGAAUUACUGGGCGUAAGGCGUGCGCAGGCGGUUUGCUAAGACCGAUGUGAAAUCCCCGGGCUCAACCUGGGAACUGCAUUGGUGACUGGCAGGCUAGAGUAUGGCAGAGGGGGGUAGAAUUCCACGUGUAGCAGUGAAAUGCGUAGAGAUGUGGAGGAAUACCGAUGGCGAAGGCAGCCCCCUGGGCCAAUACUGACGCUCAUGCACGAAAGCGUGGGGAGCAAACAGGAUUAGAUACCCUGGCAGUCCACGCCCUAAAACGAUGUCAACUAGUUGUUGGGGAUUCAUUUCCUUAGUAACGUAGCUAACGCGUGAAGUUGACCGCCUGGGGAGUACGGUCGCAAGAUUAAAACUCAAAGGAAUUGACGGGGUCAUAGCUGUUUCCU